This 50-nucleotide non-coding RNA is filed under the name Schistosoma mansoni. The record is from RNAcentral. Lineage: Eukaryota; Metazoa; Platyhelminthes; Trematoda; Strigeidida; Schistosomatidae.
UUAUUGCUGAGGAGUCAGUCCCACAAUAGGACGAAACGGCCGUCCAGUAC